Molecule: ribosomal RNA, 253 nt
Filed under: uncultured bacterium
Lineage: Bacteria
Description: partial 16S ribosomal RNA
Rfam family: Bacterial small subunit ribosomal RNA
Source: RNAcentral
UACGUAGGGAGCAAGCGUUGUCCGGAAUCAUUGGGCGUAAAGCGCGCGUAGGUGGCCUCAUAAGUCCGCUGUGAAAGUCAAAGGCUCAACCUUUGAAAGCCGGUGGAUACUGUGGGGCUAGAGUACGGAAGAGGCGAGUGGAAUUCCUGGUGUAGCGGUGGAAUGCGCAGAUAUCAGGAGGAACACCUAUAGCGAAGGCAGCUCGCUGGAACGACACUGACGCUGAGACGCGAAAGCGUGGGGAGCGAACAGG